UACGGAGGGUGCGAGCGUUGUCCGGAAUCACUGGGCGUAAAGGGCGCGUAGGCGGUGUGUCGCGUCGGCCGUGAAAGCCUGCAGCUUAACUGUGGGCUUGCGGUCGAUACGGGCAUCACUGGAGUUCGGCAGGGGAGACUGGAAUUCCUGGUGUAGCGGUGAAAUGCGCAGAUAUCAGGAGGAACACCGGUGGCGAAGGCGGGUCUCUGGGCCGAUACUGACGCUGAGGAGCGAAAGCGUGGGGAGCGAACAGG
This 254-nucleotide ribosomal RNA is filed under the name uncultured bacterium. RNAcentral's name for it is "partial 16S ribosomal RNA". It matches the Rfam family "Bacterial small subunit ribosomal RNA", at positions 524 to 776 of the family's 1533-position model. The record is from RNAcentral.